GUUAGGAAUAUUGGACAAUGGGCGCAAGCCUGAUCCAGCCAUGCCGCGUGAGUGAUGGAGGCCUUCGGGUUGUAAAGCUCUUUAGCCGAUGAUUAUAAUGACUGUAGUCGGAAAAUAAGCCCCGGCUAACUUCGUGCCAGCAGCCGCGGUAAUACGAAGGGGGCGAGCGUUAUUCGGAAUCACUGGGCGUAAAGCGUGCGUAGGCGGCUUUGCAAGUUGGGAGUGAAAGCCCAGGGCUCAACCCUGGAAUUGCUCUCAAAACUGCAAGGCUCGAAUUCGGGAGAGGAUAGCGGAAUUGUCAGUGUAGCAGUGAAAUGCGUAGAUAUUGACAGGAACACCAGUGGCGUAAGCGGCUAUCUGGACCGAUAUUGACGCUGAGGCACGAAAGCGUGGGGAUCAAACAGGAUUAGAAACCCGAGUAGUCC
Molecule: ribosomal RNA, 425 nt
Filed under: uncultured bacterium
Lineage: Bacteria
Description: partial 16S ribosomal RNA
Rfam family: Bacterial small subunit ribosomal RNA
Source: RNAcentral